AGAUUGAACGCUGGCGGCAUGCCUUACACAUGCAAGUCGAACGGCAGCACGGGAGCAAUCCUGGUGGCGAGCGGCGAACGGGUGAGUAAUACAUCGGAACGUGCCUAGUAGUGGGGGGAUAGCCCGGCGAAAGCCGGAUUAAUACCGCAUACGACCUACGGGUGAAAGCGGGGGAAUCGCAAGACCUCGCGCUAUUGGAGCGGCUGGAUGUCAGGUAUUUAGGGUAGUUUGGGUACGGGGUAAAAAGCCCGUAACCAAAGGCCCGGAACGAUCUAGUAGCUGGUACUGGAGAGGACGACCAGCCACACUGGGACUGACGACGACCGGCCCAGACCUCCGUACGGGAGCAAGUCAAGGUGGGGAACUUUUGGGACUAAGU
Molecule: ribosomal RNA, 379 nt
Filed under: uncultured soil bacterium
Lineage: Bacteria
Description: bacterial SSU rRNA
Rfam family: Bacterial small subunit ribosomal RNA
Source: RNAcentral